RNAcentral lists this long non-coding RNA (691 nucleotides) under Phasianus colchicus (ring-necked pheasant). Its description in RNAcentral is "lncRNA (ENSPCLG00000003017.1)". Lineage: Eukaryota; Metazoa; Chordata; Aves; Galliformes; Phasianidae. The record is from RNAcentral.
GCUCCAGACCUGGACGCAGUAUUCCAGAUGGGGCCUCACAAGAGCAGAGUAAUCCUCAAUUUGUUUAAUGCCUAAGUAAGCUGCAUGUGUUAAAUUAUGUGGUAAAUACUGCAAAAGAUUCAAGCAAUGCUGUUUCUCUCAAAUAAGAGAACUGUUGUUUUUUUUUUUCCUGAAAUGUUAAAACAUUUUUUAUUUCCCCCCACAUUUCUGAAUAUAAAAUUCAAUCUCACUAUAUGAGCCCAGAGUAUUUUGGUUUUAGAUCACGAGCUUUCCGAUGUUCUCAAACACAAAUGGAUUUAAGACCAUGUAUGGCAGCCUACCUUUGUCUUCCCUGCAACUCUCAUAGGUAUUCAGGUGAGAUAAAAAUGAACAAAGACUCUGAGAAGAGAUGCUGUAAAUCAGAUAGGGCUCUAUUUGUUUUCCAACGAAUGCUUUUCUUAUGAAAAAGAAAACUCUUGUCAUCUAUGACAGUAGAGAAGAGCCUUUGUGCAGCUAUUUUGACUAUCCACACAGUGAAAAGGGACAAGACCAAUGAAAACAAUUACACUAUUGGAUGACGAGAAUUAAGUUAUGGAAGCAGCCAGCCCUCAAUGUGCCUUGACCUCAGUGCUUUUCAGCACUAUCCUGCGUGAUGAGUUCACCCUGUCGUGGGCCCAGCAGCUGCUUUUCCUUAGAUUUCCUCUAACUAAAG